Molecule: ribosomal RNA, 590 nt
Filed under: uncultured bacterium
Lineage: Bacteria
Description: bacterial SSU rRNA
Rfam family: Bacterial small subunit ribosomal RNA
Source: RNAcentral
CUUGCUUCUCUUGAGAGCGGCGGACGGGUGAGUAAUGCCUAGGAAUCUGCCUGGUAGUGGGGGAUAACGUUCGGAAACGGACGCUAAUACCGCAUACGUCCUACGGGAGAAAGCAGGGGACCUUCGGGCCUUGCGCUAUCAGAUGAGCCUAGGUCGGAUUAGCUAGUUGGUGGGGUAAUGGCUCACCAAGGCGACGAUCCGUAACUGGUCUGAGAGGGUGAUCAGUCACACUGGAACUGAGACACGGUCCAGACUCCUACGGGAGGCAGCAGUGGGGAAUAUUGGACAAUGGGCGAAAGCCUGAUCCAGCCAUGCCGCGUGUGUGAAGAAGGUCUUCGGAUUGUAAAGCACUUUAAGUUGGGAGGAAGGGUUGUAGAUUAAUACUCUGCAAUUUUGACGUUACCGACAGAAUAAGCACCGGCUAACUCUGUGCCAGCAGCCGCGGUAAUACAGAGGGUGCAAGCGUUAAUCGGAAUUACUGGGCGUAAAGCGCGCGUAGGUGGUUUGUUAAGUUGGAUGUGAAAUCCCCGGGCUCAACCUGGGAACUGCAUUCAAAACUGACUGACUAGAGUAUGGUAGAGGGUGGUGGA